Molecule: non-coding RNA, 157 nt
Filed under: human gut metagenome
Description: glmS glucosamine-6-phosphate activated ribozyme
Rfam family: glmS glucosamine-6-phosphate activated ribozyme aptamer
About the family: This entry contains a glucosamine-6-phosphate activated ribozyme that is found in the mRNA for GlmS.
Source: RNAcentral
AUUUUUUAAGCGCCAGAACUUUCUAUGAGCGGAAAUUUUUUGAAAGUUGACGAGGAGAAGAGUGAUCGAAAAUUCGGCGGAUACUCUUUCGUGUUCUUUGGACGCGUAAUAUAUUGGCAAACCUAGAGGGUGACUUCUAGAACAAAUUCAAUAUAAC